This 2857-nucleotide long non-coding RNA is filed under the name Olea europaea subsp. europaea. The record is from RNAcentral. Lineage: Eukaryota; Viridiplantae; Streptophyta; Magnoliopsida; Lamiales; Oleaceae.
ACCAGAGCUGGAGGCUUAUUCUCUAGCUUUCUCCAAUGCUGCUUUUUCGCCCUCUUUUUCUCCAGCUUCUAUGAUCUGAUUCUUGUUCAAUAAUGCUAUUUUUUGACCUUUAAAAUUGAAAUUAGAGAUAGAAUCAUCUUUCCGUUCUUUUGUUUUCUCGAGUACAGCUUCUGAGUGUUUUUGUUGGUCAGCUUGAUUAUGCACUUUACUGUGUAGAUAUUUUUUUCAAUAAUGUAGAAGUUGGUGCUUCAGAAAUUGCAUAUCUUCAUCCAUUUAUCAGUUUUUUAGGCUGCUAAUAUCCUAAUCAUUUAAAGAUUACCCUUUCAACAAAUAAUUAAGUAUAAAAUGCCAUCAAUCGAGGCUGCUAAUAUCCUAAUCAUUUAAAGAUUACCCUUUCAACAAAUAAUUAAGUAUAAAAUGCCAUCAAUUGGAGUCAAAAAAUGAAUAUUUGAAUUUAUUAAGAUCUCUAACCUUCAUUUCUUUUGAUGUUGCAAAUUUAUAUUCAAUCUCUAGGUCAUCUUUCGAAUCAAUUGACAAUGCAAAACAUAUUGUAUAAAAUGGACAAAUCUAAGGUAAUUGUGUUUUCUUAUAUUUAGGUAAGGUUUUUGUUAAGGUUUCGAAAAUAAUUUCAUUUUAACUUUGUUUUCACGUUGCAUUGUUAAAGUUAACUAUGCGAGCUUCCAAGAAGUUUAAACGACGGAGAGCUACAAUUGUUGUGGCAAUUUGAGAGACCAAUAAGAGACUACAGCUGUCAAGCGAACCAGAAAAUUCUAUAUCUACUCCAAUUAAUGAUAAGCAAAACACGCAGCCUACAAAUGCAAAUGUAGAAGCUCCGAAAAAGGAAAGGUGUCCAACUCAAGUGAAAAUGAUUCCUGGAAAUAGUUAUUAGAACAUGGAUCUCGAAUUCAAUGAGUAUGGGCAAGUAGUUGGCCGUAACUCAGAUAAAUUUGCUAAUGUAGUUAGAGCCAUGGUACGAGAACAUAUGCUUGCUGUAAUUAAAGAUUGACAUUCGGUUGAUGGGAAGUAAAAAAUGAAACUUUGGAAUUUCGUACAGGUAUAUCUCUUAUCUACCUUUUAAGAUUAUUACAUUAUAUUCUUUUCAGACUUUAAUUUAUUUUUGUAUACAAGUACAACAAAUGUUCAAUGUGAGUGAUUAUUAUCAAAAAAUAACAAUUCAAUGUAUGGGAAAGUAUUGAAGGACAUUUAAGUCAAGACUGAAAAAACAAAUCAAAACUCAAGUCGAAUCAUACGUGAAUAGAGCUUGCACUAUGGCCUUUCUUAGACCGAAGAAUGUUAAAUCUGAACAAGCAUGGGAAAAUUUUGUCAAGGAUAUGCUUUCUGCUGACUUUCGUGUAAGUAUAUUUACAUACGAGGCUUCAACUUUUUAUAAUUACUUUACAUUAUUAAUAUUUGGUAUUCGUAAUAGGAAAAAAGUUUCAAGUUUAGCAGCAUGAGAACAUCUCAGAAGCUUGUCCACAAUAUGGGUUGAAAGGGUUAUCCAUGCCCAUGAAAUGGUAGAAUUACAAACAUAUCUAAUCUUCUUAUUUGAAUUGUCACACUCUAAUUUAUGUAAUUACUAGAUUUUUAUUGCAGGGGAAAAAUAUUCUAGAUAUAAAAUGAUUGAGAACUAGAGUAUAGACUCAUGGAUAUCUUAGAAAAGAUGGAAAAUCGAUAAAUUACAGUUGCUGAAACUUUAGUAUGUGUAUUAUAUCAAUGUUCAACUAAGAUUAAUUUGAUUUACUAUAUGUACCACUUGUUAAUAUAAAAUUUGAGUUCCAUGACUAAAGAAAAUGAUUGAAGUGUGUGCCCAAUCAAUUUCUGAUACACCAGCAGAAUCCCCAUUCGAGAUGAUGCUGUUGCUCGAUUUUUAGGUCCUGGACGCCAUGGAAGAGUUAGAGGACUUGGAUUUAAAGAUCCAUCAUCAAAAGUGGAUAGAAAAAUUCAAAAUAAUAUAAGAGUUAGAGAACUUCAAAGUCAACCACAAACUCAUUAAGAAAGGGGGGCAUUAGAAGAAAAGUUUGAAGUACUUCUCAAACUAUCUCAACAGGUUAUAAUCUGACCAUUAUAUAUACUGUGGUAAUAGUGCUUAAUACAGUCAAUUACAUGUAAAUUUACUUUUAUAAUUUUUGUAUCAUCUUACAUGAAUAUAGAGGAUAGGAGUUCAUGUGCUUUUAUUCCCCAGGUUUUUGUAUCCUACAUUAUUAAAUGUUUGUUGAAUUUGUAGACGCACCAAGGAAGUGGUGUCCAAGGAGGUACUGCACACCUGAAAAAUGCAAGGUGUUAACUAUUGCAUUGGUACGUUUUUUAGGAGGAAGAAAUUAUAGCGGAAGGGAAGAUUGUAACAACAGACCUAAGUGCAAAUGUGCAUCACUUGCCACUCGAACGAGACUGUUGGAAGGUUUGGAUUAAAGAGGUGUAUAUGGGUGAUUUAACCUCUAUAAAGACCUACACAUGAACUUAGAACUCUUAGUGAUGCCAUGAGAAGUACUGUUGAUUGGCCAAAGAGCAGUAUUAAACUUAUUUGAUGAAAGUAUAUUUCGUAGACUAAUUACAUACAUGUAUGAAUCUAUUUUUAUUUUCAAAAUCAAUUGUAGUUCUAUUUACACAUGAGUUAUGAAUCAAACUUUGUUAUAAUUUCAUAGAGUUCUCAGUAGCAUGCAAUCAUUGAUAGUUUUUUAGGAUGUACUCUUUUGCUUGGUACUACUUUCUUUAUCAAAUGGAUUUCAAUGUUUCGCUCUAUUGAUAUGCUUGGGGAAACAGGACAUGAUUAUAUUUCAUUUUCCUUGUAGGUAAAAUCAAGCAGAGCUCCUACAUUUGUACAGGGUAGGGGCGAAUUCUGUUAAUAUAUUAAUAGUGC